AUUGAACGCUGGCGGCAUGCUUUACACAUGCAAGUCGAACGCUAACAGGUUAAGCUGACGAGUGGCGAACGGGUGAGUAAUGCAUCGGAACGUGCCCGAUCGUGGGGGAUACCGCAGCGAAAGCUGCGCUAAUACCGCAUACGAUCUGAGGAUGAAAGCGGGGGACCGUAAGGCCUCGCGCGAUCGGAGCGGCCGAUGUCAGAUUAGGUAGUUGGUGGGGUAAAGGCCCACCAAGCCGACGAUCUGUAGCUGGUCUGAGAGGACGACCAGCCACACUGGGACUGAGACACGGCCCAGACUCCUACGGAAGGCAGCAGUGGGGAAUUUUGGACAAUGGGCGAAAGCCUGAUCCAGCAAUGCCGCGUGCAGGAAGAAGGCCUUCGGGUUGUAAACUGCUUUUGUACGGAGCGAAAAGGUCCUUUCUAAUACAAGGGGCUCAUGACGGUACCGUAAGAAUAAGCACCGGCUAACUACGUGCCAGCAGCCGCCGCGG
RNAcentral lists this ribosomal RNA (493 nucleotides) under uncultured bacterium. Its description in RNAcentral is "partial 16S ribosomal RNA". It matches the Rfam family "Bacterial small subunit ribosomal RNA", at positions 30 to 523 of the family's 1533-position model. The record is from RNAcentral.